AUUGAACGCUGGCGGCAGGCCUAACACAUGCAAGUCGAGCGAGCGGCGGACGGGUGAGUAAUGUCUGGGAAACCGCCUGAUGGAGGGGGAUAACUACUGGAAACGGUAGCUAAUACCGCAUACCAUCAGAUGUGCCCAGAUGGGAUUAUCUAGUUGGUGGGAUAAUGGCUCACCUAGGCGACGAUCCCCAGCUGGUCUGAAAGGAUGACCAGCGACACUGGAACUGGGACACGGUCCAGACACCUGCGAGAGGCAGCAGUGGGGAAUAUUGCACAAUGGGCGCAAGCCUGAUGCAGCCAUGCCGCGUGUGUAAAGAAGGCCUUCGGGUUGUAAAGCACUUUCAGCAGGGAGACGUUCUCUCAGAAAAGCACCGGCUAACUCCGUGCCAGCAGCCGCGGUAAUAC
RNAcentral lists this ribosomal RNA (404 nucleotides) under uncultured bacterium. RNAcentral's name for it is "partial 16S ribosomal RNA". It matches the Rfam family "Bacterial small subunit ribosomal RNA", at positions 30 to 526 of the family's 1533-position model. The record is from RNAcentral.